This 74-nucleotide transfer RNA is filed under the name Pteropus alecto (black flying fox). It matches the Rfam family "tRNA". Rfam says of the family: Transfer RNA (tRNA) molecules are approximately 80 nucleotides in length. Their secondary structure includes four short double-helical elements and three loops (D, anti-codon, and T loops). Further hydrogen bonds mediate the characteristic L-shaped molecular structure. tRNAs have two regions of fundamental functional importance: the anti-codon, which is responsible for specific mRNA codon recognition, and the 3' end, to which the tRNAs corresponding amino acid is attached (by aminoacyl-tRNA synthetases). tRNAs cope with the degeneracy of the genetic code in two manners: having more than one tRNA (with a specific anti-codon) for a particular amino acid; and 'wobble' base-pairing, i.e. permitting non-standard base-pairing at the 3rd anti-codon position. Lineage: Eukaryota; Metazoa; Chordata; Mammalia; Chiroptera; Pteropodidae. The record is from Rfam by way of RNAcentral.
GCAUCUAUAGUGUAGUGGUUAGCACGUCUGCUUUACAUAUAGAAGAUUCUGGGUCCGUUCCCCAGGUAGAGGCA